This 1414-nucleotide ribosomal RNA is filed under the name Pseudomonas gessardii. RNAcentral's name for it is "bacterial SSU rRNA". Lineage: Bacteria; Pseudomonadati; Pseudomonadota; Gammaproteobacteria; Pseudomonadales; Pseudomonadaceae. The record is from RNAcentral.
ACACAUGCAGUCGAGCGGUAGAGAGAAGCUUGCUUCUCUUGAGAGCGGCGGACGGGUGAGUAAUGCCUAGGAAUCUGCCUGGUAGUGGGGGAUAACGUUCGGAAACGGACGCUAAUACCGCAUACGUCCUACGGGAGAAAGCAGGGGACCUUCGGGCCUUGCGCUAUCAGAUGAGCCUAGGUCGGAUUAGCUAGUUGGUGGGGUAAUGGCUCACCAAGGCGACGAUCCGUAACUGGUCUGAGAGGAUGAUCAGUCACACUGGAACUGAGACACGGUCCACACUAAUACGGGAGGCAGCAGUGGGGAAUAUUGGACAAUGGGCGAAAGCCUGAUCCAGCCAUGCCGCGUGUGUGAAGAAGGUCUUCGGAUUGUAAAGCACUUUAAGUUGGGAGGAAGGGUUGUAGAUUAAUACUCUGCAAUUUUGACGUUACCGACAGAAUAAGCACCGGCUAACUCUGUGCCAGCAGCCGCGGUUAUACAGAGGGUGCAAGCGUUAAUCGGAAUUACUGGGCGUAAAGCGCGCGUAGGUGGUUAGUUAAGUCGGAUGUGAAAUCCCCGGGCUCAACCUGGGAACUGCAUUCAAAACUGACUGACUAGAGUAUGGUAGAGGGUGGUGGAAUUUCCUGUGUAGCGCUGAAAUGCGUAGAUAUUGGAAGGAACACCAGUGGCGAAGGCGACCACCUGGACUGAUACUGACACUGAGGUGCGAAAGCGUGGGGAGCAAACUGGAUGAGAUACCCUGGUAGUCCACGCCGUAAACRAUGUCAACUAGCCGUUGGGAGCCUUGAGCUCUUAGUGGCGCAGCUAACGCAUUARGUUGACCGCCUGGGGAGUACGGCCGCMAGGUUAAAACUCARAUGAAUUGACGGGGGCYCGCACAAGCGGUGGAGCAUGUKGUUUAAAUUCGAAGCAACGCGAAGAACCUUACCAGGCCUUGACAUCCAAUGAACUUUCUAGAGAUAGAUUGGUGCCUUCCGGGAACAUUGAGAACAGGUGCUGCAUGGCUUGUCGUCAGCUCGUGUUCGUGAGGAUGUUGGGGUUAAGUUCCCGUAACCCGAGCGCAACCCUUUGUCCUUAUGUUUACCACCGCACGUUCAUGGUGGGCACUCUAAGGAGACUGCCGGUGACAAACCGGAGGAAGGUGGGGAUGACGUCAAGUCAUCAUGGCCCUUACGGCCUGGGCUACACACGUGCUACAAUGGUCGGUACAGAGGGUUGCCAAGCCGCGAGGUGGAGCUAAUCCCACAAAACCGAUCGUAGUCCGGAUCGCAGUCUGCAACUCGACUGCGUGAAGUCGGAAUCGCUAGUAAUCGCGAAUCAGAAUGUCGCGGUGAAUACGUUCCCGGGCCUUGUACACACCGCCCGUCACACCAUGGGAGUGGGUUGCACCAGAAGUAGCUAGUCUAACUUCGGG